UGGCUGUAAACUAGACUUGGCAAUCUCGAUCCAUACUCGCGGGUGCCCGCGGGUUAUCCGCAAAUUUGCGGAUAUAGAUAUCAACUUUUUCAACCCAAAAAAUUACGGGUAAAACGGGUGGAUACCCAUUAAGUUGUGGAUAUUUUUGGUAACCCGCGGGUACCCACGGGUACCCGCACAUAUAUUUUUUAAUUACAAAAUAUAUUUUCUUAAUUAAAAUAUAUAUAUUUUUAUUUACUCAUCCUACAAAUUCUAACUUUAAUUUUUUAUCACGUCUUUUAUAUUACAAAAUUUUUAAGCUCUAAGACUUUAAAUAUUUUUAUUGUAUGUUAUGAUAUUUUAAAUAAUAAGUUAUGCUAUAUUUUAAAACUUAUAUAUAUAUAUGUAUUUUGCAUUUAAAAAAUAUAAGAGAAAAAAAAAAUUUAUGGGUAACCCGCAUACCCACCCGCCCACCCGCGGGUGGGUAUGGGUAAUAAUGUUGGCUACCCAAAAAUUUAUGGGUAAAUUUUACCCAUGCCCAAAUAAUUUGUGGGUACAAUAACUCGCCCGCGGGUUACCCAAUCCGCUCGUUUGCCAGGUCUACUGUAAACUAAACUUUUCAAUAUUAAUUAAUACCAUUAAAAAAAUGUGUUUGGUCUCAGCUAGGGUGGCCUCUUAUGAUUUUUUUUUUAUGUUGGAUCAUGUGAAGUUAUAUUCCGAGUCGACGUCAUGGUUAAAAUGUUAAAGAUUUGAGAUUUAUGAAUGUUGGGUAACUAAAAUUUGAGGUU
This 767-nucleotide long non-coding RNA is filed under the name Ananas comosus (pineapple). Its description in RNAcentral is "long non-coding RNA (ACOM_LNC007510)". Lineage: Eukaryota; Viridiplantae; Streptophyta; Magnoliopsida; Poales; Bromeliaceae. The record is from RNAcentral.